Non-coding RNA from Caenorhabditis elegans, 21 nucleotides. Lineage: Eukaryota; Metazoa; Nematoda; Chromadorea; Rhabditida; Rhabditidae. The record is from Ensembl.
UCCGUUGUUCAUUAUAGCUAA